This 518-nucleotide ribosomal RNA is filed under the name uncultured bacterium. Its description in RNAcentral is "partial 16S ribosomal RNA". It matches the Rfam family "Bacterial small subunit ribosomal RNA", at positions 28 to 507 of the family's 1533-position model. The record is from RNAcentral.
GACGAACGCUGGCGGCGUGCCUAAUACAUGCAAGUCGAACGCACUCUCGUUAGAUUGAAGAAGCUUGCUUCUGAUUGAUAACAUUUGAGUGAGUGGCGGACGGGUGAGUAACACGUGGGUAACCUGCCCUAAAGUGGGGGAUAACAUUUGGAAACAGAUGCUAAUACCGCAUAAAACCUAGCACCGCAUGGUGCAAGGUUGAAAGAUGGUUUCGGCUAUCACUUUAGGAUGGACCCGCGGUGCAUUAGUUAGUUGGUGAGGUAAAGGCUCACCAAGACCGGGAUGCAUAGCCGACCUGAGAGGGUAAUCGGCCACACUGGGACUGAGACACGGCCCAGACUCCUACGGGAGGCAGCAGUAGGGAAUCUUCCACAAAGGACGAAAGUCUGAUGGAGCAACGCCGCGUGAGUGAAGAAGGUUUUCGGAUCGUAAAACUCUGUUGUUGGAGAAGAACGUAUUUGAUAGUAACUGAUCAGGUAGUGACGGUAUCCAACCAGAAAGCCACGGCUAACUACGUG